RNAcentral lists this long non-coding RNA (1406 nucleotides) under Salmo salar (Atlantic salmon). RNAcentral's name for it is "lncRNA (ENSSSAG00000118156.1)". Lineage: Eukaryota; Metazoa; Chordata; Actinopteri; Salmoniformes; Salmonidae. The record is from RNAcentral.
GUAGCUUGUAUAUUUCGUAAAAAUCAUUUUAACUGUUCAACGUGUUGCAUCAAUAUUCAGUGUACAAACGCAUCACAGGCAAACAUUUCACGGACAAAACACUGAAGUUCUUAAACAACAACAUCGCAUCACAAACUCUGGGGUUGAACAAUCUCGACGGAUCAACAUGUCUUCCAACACAAAUGUGAAACAUACAUUUUGGUACUUCUUUCAACGAUUCAAGUCCGUUUUUUCCCCCAGUGCUUGACAAUAUCACACCGCACAAGAAAUCAGUGUAGUACCUUUUCCACGAUCCAACCAAACAUUUGAAUGCCGAGCAUAGCUGGCAUGAGUUGGGUGGAGUGGAAGCGAGUGGCUUUAAGUGUGUCUGAUCUGUGACCCCCGGGUGUCGUCACAGAGAUGUUAACCUCCAUCCAUUGGGCUAACAAACAAAGGUAAUCCAGGCAAGGCCCCUGCUUGAUACAGAGGGUUAAGAGCAGCAACAACCACCACAAUAACAACACACCUCAACUGAGUCAACGCCAACCUCGGAGGUUUGGGGGGGGGGGGGAAAGAGGUUGGAAGAAGGAGAAGUCUGGCCAAGGGUGUUUGAGGUCCAAAACCAUGCUGCAAAAUUGACUGAAUUAUCAAGAUGAAGAAAGAUUUGUCAAUUGUGUUCUCACAGGACCUGCAAAUCAAACAAACAGUGUUAGCAUUGACGCAAGGUGUCAGUCGGCGGGAUCCAACCUAUUACGGAGAGAAGGAGUCAACUAUGGUUAUUCAGCCGUGGUUCUGCAAAACACAAAGCGCUUCUGGAUCCCAUCCAGAACACCUGAGAAGAAUAAGAAAUGUUAGUCGUUCGAAGAGCUUUUAAACUUCAGGUUUAACAGGUUUUGGCCACGAUAACAUUUUAAGCAGCAUAGCAGUUCACUGGAUGUUCCAGGGCAAAAACCAUAGACAUUUCAAAUAAAAUAACCAAUAGCAAAAACAAUAAGACAAUAUGAGCAGAUCGGUCAAUCACUAAGACACUAUGUAACAUCUUGUUUAAAAUCUAAAUUAGUGCAGCUUUUAAAAAAAUCAUCAACAUUUAAAACCGCUAAAGAGGAGUGCUCCAAACCUGGACAUAAAAAUCAUUAUGUUCAUCAUAAAGUUCAUGCAAGUACAUUGGCAGUAAAAACCUUAGAAAGAAGGUACAAAUAGGUCCAAUAUGAACCUGUUCUCCGUUACCAGACAUAACUUAUGUCGUAUACUAAUGUGACUGAAAUGGCAUAGCCGAUACUUUCAAAAAUCCAUAGGAUUCAGAACUAAAACUCAAUACAGUUAGAAAAAGCAAACAAAAGGAACAAAACAAAACUAGGUCAGUAGUCAAAGUGAAACCACGAAAGGGGAACAAUGACAAACAAAACCACUUAAAAACUGUACCCUUC